AACUUUUAACAAUGGAUAACUUGGCUCUUAUAUCGAUGAAGAACAUAGCAAAAUGUGAUAAUUAAUGUGAAUUGCAGAACUCUGUGAAUCAUUAAAUAUUUGAACGCAUAUUGCACUUCUUUUUUUAUAUAAAAAAAGAAAAAGAAGUAUAUUUAUUUGAGAA
Molecule: ribosomal RNA, 163 nt
Filed under: Opalina triangulata
Lineage: Eukaryota; Bigyra; Opalinata; Opalinidae
Description: 5.8S ribosomal RNA
Rfam family: 5.8S ribosomal RNA
About the family: 5.8S ribosomal RNA (5.8S rRNA) is a component of the large subunit of the eukaryotic ribosome. It is transcribed by RNA polymerase I as part of the 45S precursor that also contains 18S and 28S rRNA.
Source: RNAcentral